AAGUCGUAACAAGGUAACCGUAGGUGAACCUGCGGUUGGAUCAUUAACGAAUGUAUCCGGCUUUGGCCGUGUGUUUUUUCUCUCGGGAAAAAGCACAUCCUACCCACCUUUUGUGAACUGUCUCUGGCAGAGCAUGGGGGCUCUUCUUUCGGGAGGUGUUUCUUGUGCUUUGUCACUUGCUCCAACAUUUUUCUAUUUUAUAUCUGUCUUACAUUUUAGUAUUUAAAUAUACAAACAACUUUUGGCAACGGAUCUCUUGGCUCUC
This 265-nucleotide unclassified non-coding RNA is filed under the name fungal sp. RNAcentral describes it as "partial internal transcribed spacer region". The stretch from base 1 to 46 matches the Rfam family "Eukaryotic small subunit ribosomal RNA", at positions 1786 to 1831 of the family's 1831-position model. The record is from RNAcentral. Lineage: Eukaryota; Fungi.